UUGGAGGGCAAGUCUGGUGCCAGCAGCCGCGGUAAUUCCAGCUCCAAUAGCGUAUAUUAAAGUUGUUGCAGUUAAAAAGCUCGUAGUUGAAUUUCGGGAUCAAAUUGUUGGUCGUGCUUCAGUACGCACUGGCAUUAUUGGUUCUUACCUUCUGAAGAACCGCGAUGUCAUUAAUUUGGUGUCGUGGGGAAUCAGGACUGUUACUUUGAAAAAAUUAGAGUGUUUAAAGCAGGCGCACGCUUGAAUACAUUAGCAUGGAAUAAUGAAAUAGGACGUUUGAUUCUAUUUUGUUGGUUUCUAGGAUCGACGUAAUGAUUAAUAGGGAUAGUUGGGGGCAUUAGUAUUCAAUUGUCAGAGGUGAAAUUCUUGGAUUUAUUGAAGACUAACUACUGCGAAAGCAUUUGCCAAGGAUGUUUUCAUUAAUCAAGAACGAAAGUUAGGGGAUCGAAGACGAUCAGAUACCGUCGUAGUCUUAACCAUAAACUAUGCCGACUAGGAAUCAGACGAUGUUAAUUUUUUAAUGACUCGUUUGGCACCUUACGGGAAACCAAAG
This 553-nucleotide ribosomal RNA is filed under the name uncultured Glomus. RNAcentral's name for it is "SSU rRNA". It matches the Rfam family "Eukaryotic small subunit ribosomal RNA", at positions 548 to 1103 of the family's 1831-position model. The record is from RNAcentral. Lineage: Eukaryota; Fungi; Glomeromycota; Glomeromycetes; Glomerales; Glomeraceae.